Molecule: ribosomal RNA, 265 nt
Filed under: uncultured prokaryote
Description: partial 16S ribosomal RNA
Rfam family: Bacterial small subunit ribosomal RNA
Source: RNAcentral
UACGUAGGUGGCAAGCGUUGUCCGGAUUUAUUGGGCGUAAAGCGAGCGCAGGCGGUUCCUUAAGUCUGAUGUGAAAGCCCACGGCUUAACCGUGGAGGGUCAUUGGAAACUGGUCGACUUGAGUGCAGAAGAGGGAAGUGGAAUUCCAUGUGUAGCGGUGAAAUGCGUAGAGAUAUGGAGGAACACCAGUGGCGAAGGCGGCUUCCUGGUCUGUAACUGACACUGAGGCGCGAAAGCGUGGGGAGCAAACAGGAUUAGAUACCCU